ACCAUCGAGGUGCCAUGGCACAAGAUUCUUGGUGCCACCAUUGAGAACUCCAAGAUUGUCCUGUGGGUCAGCAAU
Molecule: non-coding RNA, 75 nt
Organism: Myotis davidii
Lineage: Eukaryota; Metazoa; Chordata; Mammalia; Chiroptera; Vespertilionidae
Source: Rfam